RNAcentral lists this ribosomal RNA (395 nucleotides) under uncultured bacterium. RNAcentral's name for it is "partial 16S ribosomal RNA". It matches the Rfam family "Bacterial small subunit ribosomal RNA", at positions 338 to 730 of the family's 1533-position model. The record is from RNAcentral.
CCUACGGGCGGCAGCAGUGAGGAAUAUUGGUCAAUGGCCGGAAGGCUGAACCAGCCAUGCCGCGUGAAGGUCAGUGCCCUAUGGGCGUUAAACUUCUUUUGUGCGGGAGCAAUAAUGGUCACGUGUGGCCAGACGAGAGUACCGUACGAAUAAGCAUCGGCUCAAUCCGUGCCAGCAGCCGCGGUAAUACGGGGGAUGCAAGCGUUAUCCGGAUUUAUUGGGUUUAAAGGGUGCGUAGGCUGUGAGGUAAGUCAGCGGUGAAAUGCCCCCGCUCAACGGGGUGAAGUGCCAUUGAUACUGGCUUGCUGGAAUGCGGAUGCCGGGGGAGGAAUGUGUGGUGUAGCGGUGAAAUGCAUAGAUAUCACACAGAACACCGAAUGCGAAGGCAUCUCACG